This 813-nucleotide ribosomal RNA is filed under the name uncultured bacterium. RNAcentral describes it as "bacterial SSU rRNA". It matches the Rfam family "Bacterial small subunit ribosomal RNA", at positions 638 to 1450 of the family's 1533-position model. The record is from RNAcentral.
UGACUNGAGUGCAGAAGGGGAGAGUGGAAUUCCAUGUGUAGCGGUGAAAUGCGUAGAUAUAUGGAGGAACACCAGUGGCGAAAGCGGCUCUCUGGUCUGUCACUGACGCUGAGGCUCGAAAGCGUGGGUAGCGAACAGGAUUAGAUACCCUGGUAGUCCACGCCGUAAACGAUGAGUGCUAGGUGUUAGGCCCUUUCCGGGGCUUAGUGCCGGAGCUAACGCAAUAAGCACUCCGCCUGGGGAGUACGACCGCAAGGUUGAAACUCAAAGGAAUUGACGGGGGCCCGCACAAGCGGUGGAGCAUGUGGUUUAAUUCGAAGCAACGCGAAGAACCUUACCAGGUCUUGACAUCCCGAUGCUAUUCUUAGAGAUAGGAAGUUACUUCGGUACAUCGGAGACAGGUGGUGCAUGGUUGUCGUCAGCUCGUGUCGUGAGAUGUUGGGUUAAGUCCCGCAACGAGCGCAACCCUUAUUGUUAGUUGCCAUCAUUAAGUUGUGCACUCUAGCGAGACUGCCGGUAAUAAACCGGAGGAAGGUGGGGAUGACGUCAAAUCAUCAUGCCCCUUAUGACCUGGGCUACACACGUGCUACAAUGGUCGGUACAACGAGUUGCGAGCCGGUGACGGCAAGCUAAUCUCUGAAAGCCGAUCUCAGUUCGGAUUGGAGGCUGCAACUCGCCUCCAUGAAGUCGGAAUCGCUAGUAAUCGCGGAUCAGCACGCCGCGGUGAAUACGUUCCCGGGCCUUGUACACACCGCCCGUCACACCACGAGAGUUUGUAACACCCGAAGUCGGUGAGGUAACCUUUUAGGGGCC